GGGUUGUGAGGUUAAGCGACUAAGCGUACACGGUGGAUGCCCUGGCAGUCAGAGGCGAUGAAGGGCGUGCUAAUCUGCGAUAAGCGCCGGUAAGGUGAUAUGAACCGUUAUAACCGGCGAUACCCGAAUGGGGAAACCCAGUGUGACUCGUCACACUAUCAUUAACUGAAUCCAUAGGUUAAUGAGGCGAACCGGGGGAACUGAAACAUCUAAGUACCCCGAGGAAAAGAAAUCAACCGAGAUUCCCCCAGUAGCGGCGAGCGAACGGGGAGGAGCCCAGAGCCUGAAUCAGCAUGUGUGUUAGUGGAAGCGUCUGGAAAGACGCGCGAUACAGGGUGACAGCCCCGUACACAAAAGCGUAUGUGCUGUGAGCUCGAUGAGUAGGGCGGGACACGUGGUAUCCUGUCUGAAUAUGGGGGGACCAUCCUCCAAGGCUAAAUACUCCUGACUGACCGAUAGUGAACCAGUACCGUGAGGGAAAGGCGAAAAGAACCCCGGCGAGGGGAGUGAAAAAGAACCUGAAACCGUGUACGUACAAGCAGUGGGAGCACAGGUUUACCUGUGUGACUGCGUACCUUUUGUAUAAUGGGUCAGCGACUUAUAUUCUGUAGCAAGGUUAACCGAAUAGGGGAGCCGGAGGGAAACCGAGUCUUAAUUGGGCGUUAAGUUGCAGGGUAUAGACCCGAAACCCGGUGAUCUAGCCAUGGGCAGGUUGAAGGUUGGGUAACACUAACUGGAGGACCGAACCGACUAAUGUUGAAAAAUUAGCGGAUGACCUGUGGCUGGGGGUGAAAGGCCAAUCAAACCGGGAGAUAGCUGGUUCUCCCCGAAAGCUAUUUAGGUAGCGCCUCGUGAAUUCAUCUCCGGGGGUAGAGCACUGUUUCGGCUAGGGGGUCAUCCCGACUUACCAACCCGAUGCAAACUGCGAAUACCGGAGAAUGUUAUCACGGGAGACACACGGCGGGUGCUAACGUCCGUCGUGAAGAGGGAAACAACCCAGACCGCCAGCUAAGGUCCCAAAGUCAUGGUUAAGUGGGAAACGAUGUGGGAAGGCCCAGACAGCCAGGAUGUUGGCUUAGAAGCAGCCAUCAUUUAAAGAAAGCGUAAUAGCUCACUGGUCGAGUCGGCCUGCGCGGAAGAUGUAACGGGGCUAAACCAUGCACCGAAGC
Molecule: ribosomal RNA, 1169 nt
Filed under: Salmonella enterica subsp. enterica serovar Agona
Lineage: Bacteria; Pseudomonadati; Pseudomonadota; Gammaproteobacteria; Enterobacterales; Enterobacteriaceae
Description: partial 23S ribosomal RNA
Rfam family: Bacterial large subunit ribosomal RNA
Source: RNAcentral